This 179-nucleotide ribosomal RNA is filed under the name uncultured bacterium. Its description in RNAcentral is "partial 16S ribosomal RNA". It matches the Rfam family "Bacterial small subunit ribosomal RNA", at positions 335 to 527 of the family's 1533-position model. The record is from RNAcentral.
AGUCUACGGGAGGCAGCAGGUGGGGGAUAUUGCACAAUGGGGGAAACCCUGAUGCAGCAACGCCGCGUGAGGUAUGAAGGCCUUUGGGUUGUAAGCCUCUGUCCUAGGGGAAGAAAAAAAUGACGGUACCCGAGGAGGAAGCCCCGGCUAACUACGUGCCAGCAGCCGCGGUAAUGACU